Molecule: ribosomal RNA, 1908 nt
Filed under: Triticum aestivum (bread wheat)
Lineage: Eukaryota; Viridiplantae; Streptophyta; Magnoliopsida; Poales; Poaceae
Description: partial small subunit ribosomal RNA
Source: RNAcentral
AUGUACCUAUCCCACGAUGAUGCAUGGUGGACUGUUGGCCGUUUCGAGGACAACCACAAUCACCCCCUGAUCAAAAAUCCGUCCCUAACAAAAUUCUUAUCAUCACAUCGGUACAUUCCGAAGGAGGAGCAGGACUUCUUGAGGGUUCUGCAUGGAUGCAACGUUGAGACUGUGAGGCAGAUGCAGCUGAUGUCAUGGUUCUACGGAAGCGCUCAAGACGUACCCUACACGACACAAGACAUUGCUAAUCAACGAGCUAAGUUCCGCUUAGAGCACCGCCACAAGGACGUUGGGAGCACAAUUGCGUACUUCCAAGAGAUGAGGGCCAAAGAUUCCUAUUAUAGAAUCAAACUUGAUGAUGAGGACAGGGUUGAGAACUUGUUCUGGAUAGAUGGCGCAUCACGCAGGGCAUAUGCAAAGUAUAAUGAAUGUUUUUCGUUCGACACGACAUACAUUACAAACAUGUACAAGAUGCCUCAAUCCAUCUAGUUUGGGUGUGGCUUCGUUCGAAACGAACUAAAGGAGAACUUUGUGUGGCUGUUUAACACAUUCCUCCAUGCAAUAGGUGGUGUUGCCCCAAAAAACAUCAUCACAGACCAGGACUUUGCAAUGAGGAGUGCGAUCGACGAGGUCUUCUUGAACAUAAUACACAGAAAUUUCCGCUGGCAUAUAAUGAAGAAGGCGCGGGAGAAACUUGGAAAUAUUAUGGCUGAUGAUAAACCACUAAACAAAGCGUUCAAAGACUGUGUCGACAAUAGCUUGACUGAGGAAGAGUUUGAAAACAAAUGGUGGGCAAUGAUGGAUGAAUAUGGCCAGAUCGACAACGAACAUUUUCACUGGCUGUGCGAAAAUAGGAAAUGUUGGGCCCCGGUGUACUACAUGAAGCAUUUCUUUCCAUUCUUGCAGACAACUGCAAGGAGCGAGGGAUUCAAUGCUGUGCUCAAGAAGUACGUGAACCCCAACAACUCAUUGAUUGAAUUUGCAACUCAAUACACUGCAAUCCAGGAGAAAGUAAUGGUGGCUGUGGCGAAAGAGCAAGUGGACACAAUUUACAAAGAGUCAGACAUGUAUUCAUUGACCCCAAUCGAGUUGCAAAUGCGAGGGAUAUACACACAAAAUCUGUUCUGCAAGUUCCAGGUAGAGAUGAAGCUAAAGACUGCUUACGGAUGCGACACUUUGCAAGAUGGAACCUUCAGGAUGUGGUCGCUCCGAGGCAUACUACCAAAGUAUGGGGAUAGGGACUACCAUGUGCAGGCGAACAAGGAUGAAGGGGUAUACUCAUGCACUUGCUGCAAGUUUGAUCGCGAUGGGCUAUUGUGCGCACACAUACUACGAGUAUUGGAAUAGAUUGGAGUGUAUGAGAUACCAAUGAGGUAUAUCCUAGAUAGGUGGACAUGGGAUCCAGAGGAGGAUCUUGUUGAGCCUGAUUACCAACAACCAACACUUCAUAAGGGUAUGACAGAGCAAGGAAAAAAUAUCAUGAGAUAUACAUCUAUUCUGAAUGAUUUCAAGGAACAAGCAAAAGACGCUUGCACUACUGAUGAAGGGAUGGCAUUGGCAAGGAAACACGUUAAUGCUUUCGGAGACGACAUGGAUGCGCUAAAAAAGAGGCAGAUAAAGAAAGCAAGAAAGGAAAAAGAUGAGGGAAAAGAAGCACAAUUGUUUUCUUCACCACCAGGGACUAGUGCCACUGAAGGUGUCCCAGUAGCGCAUCAAGGAAGCAUUCCUGUCACGCACGUGUGUGGCAAUAUUUUUCAGUUCCAGGGCUCACAUACCGAGGGAUCCCAAUCAUCAAACACAAGAGUGAUACUAGACCCACCAAAGUCUACUACAAAAGGGCGUGCAAGAGAGAAAAGAUUUCAGCACCCAUUUUGUCGUGGAAUUGUCACGUCAGAUGUCCUAGUGUGA